GACGAACGCUGGCGGCGUGCUUAACACAUGCAAGUCGAACGGAAAGGCCCUGCUUGCAGGGUACUCGAGUGGCGAACGGGUGAGUAACACGUGGGUGAUCUGCCCUGCACUUCGGGAUAAGCCUGGGAAACUGGGUCUAAUACCGGAUAGGAGCCAUUUUUAGUGUGAUGGUUGGAAAGUUUUUUCGGUGUAGGAUGAGCUCGCGGCCUAUCAGCUUGUUGGUGGGGUAAUGGCCUACCAAGGCGGCGACGGGUAGCCGGCCUGAGAGGGUGGACGGCCACAGUGGGACUGAGAUACGGCCCAGACUCCUACGGGAGGCAGCAGUGGGGAAUAUUGCACAAUGGGCGCAAGCCUGAUGCAGCGACGCCGCGUGGGGGAUGACGGCCUUCGGGUUGUAAACGCCUUUCGCUAGGGACGAAGCUUUUUGUGACGGUACCUAGAUAAGAAGCACCGGCUAACUACGUG
This 465-nucleotide ribosomal RNA is filed under the name uncultured bacterium. Its description in RNAcentral is "partial 16S ribosomal RNA". It matches the Rfam family "Bacterial small subunit ribosomal RNA", at positions 28 to 507 of the family's 1533-position model. The record is from RNAcentral.